GUAUCGGUGGUUCAGUGGUAGAAUGCUCGCCUGCCACGCGGGGUUCGAUUCCCGGCCGAUGCA
RNAcentral lists this transfer RNA (63 nucleotides) under Cordylochernes scorpioides. RNAcentral's name for it is "tRNA-Ser". It matches the Rfam family "tRNA". From Rfam's summary of the family: Transfer RNA (tRNA) molecules are approximately 80 nucleotides in length. Their secondary structure includes four short double-helical elements and three loops (D, anti-codon, and T loops). The record is from RNAcentral. Lineage: Eukaryota; Metazoa; Arthropoda; Arachnida; Pseudoscorpiones; Chernetidae.